This 301-nucleotide ribosomal RNA is filed under the name uncultured bacterium. RNAcentral describes it as "partial 16S ribosomal RNA". It matches the Rfam family "Bacterial small subunit ribosomal RNA", at positions 509 to 809 of the family's 1533-position model. The record is from RNAcentral.
CAGCAGCCGCGGGAAUACGAAGGGGGCUAGCGUUGCUCGGAAUGACUGGGCGUAAAGGGCGCGUAGGCGGAUUGUUUAGUUAGGCGUGAAAUUCCUGGGCUUAACCUGGGGACUGCGCUUAAUACAGGCAGUCUAGAGUGAGGAAGAGGGUUGUGGAAUUCCCAGUGUAGAGGUGAAAUUCGUAGAUAUUGGGAAGAACACCGGUGGCGAAGGCGGCAACCUGGUCCUUGACUGACGCUGAGGCGCGAAAGCGCGGGGAGCAAACAGGAUUAGAUACCCCCGUAGUCCCUGUCUCUUAUAA